GGGGGCGAAAAUGGCUUCGACGGGGGUUUGGAGACUAUAGUAGCAAGCCGUUGUGAAGAUCAACGUAAAAAGUUUCACAAAAAAUAAAAGACAAUAAUAAUUUUGCUUUAGCUGCCUAAGCAGCUUCAUCUUACCGGAAAGCCCCACGGUUUCGGAUAAGGUGUCAAAUUAGUGGGAAACGAAGCUCAGCAAGGUGUCAUAGCUGAGGGGGUAUUCAUGACAAUAUACCAUCGGUAUUUUGUUCAUUUCGAAUCGAUGAUGAAAAAUUAAAAUGAACUGAGCUUGGAGAAACUAUCUUUGAAGGGCUUUCGGACGCGAGUUCGACUCUCGCCGCCUCCACCA
RNAcentral lists this transfer-messenger RNA (342 nucleotides) under human gut metagenome. It matches the Rfam family "transfer-messenger RNA". Rfam says of the family: Bacterial tmRNA, also known as 10Sa RNA or SsrA, is named for its dual tRNA and mRNA-like properties. Its role is to liberate the mRNA from a stalled ribosome. The record is from RNAcentral.